This 125-nucleotide ribosomal RNA is filed under the name Pleosporales sp. RNAcentral's name for it is "partial small subunit ribosomal RNA". It matches the Rfam family "Eukaryotic small subunit ribosomal RNA", at positions 1657 to 1779 of the family's 1831-position model. Lineage: Eukaryota; Fungi; Ascomycota; Dothideomycetes; Pleosporales. The record is from RNAcentral.
CCUUUGUACACACCGCCCGUCGCUACUACCGAUUGAAUGGCUCAGUGAGGCCUUCGGACUGGCUCAGGGAGGUUGGCAACGACCACCCCGAGCCGGAAAGUUCGUCAAACUCGGUCAUUUAGAGG